Molecule: long non-coding RNA, 327 nt
Organism: Parus major (Great Tit)
Lineage: Eukaryota; Metazoa; Chordata; Aves; Passeriformes; Paridae
Exons: 2
Source: RefSeq, a predicted model, not a curated record
CCGCAUUUCCUUUUUGACUUUAGAGAGAGAGAGAGAGAAGCGGAGGCUGGGGGCUGGUGGACGCAUCGAGCUGUAGAUGCCUGGUCCCGAUUGCGAACUUGGCAGAGGUUUUUUGGCGUGGAUGAAGGCGGUGGCCGCUAAGCAGGACCACCUGCCGGCCCCGUUACCCGGAACGGGAGGAGAAGAUGGGCAUCUCCAGCCGAAUUCCACCGCCGAGGAUGGAAGUGUUUAAAGGAAGACCUGCCCCGCUCGGGGUAGCGGAGAUCUGAACCUUUAAAUUGCAGCCAUUCCCGGCCUGACGAUAAGUAAAUAAACAAUUCACAGCUG